Molecule: non-coding RNA, 46 nt
Organism: Schistosoma mansoni
Lineage: Eukaryota; Metazoa; Platyhelminthes; Trematoda; Strigeidida; Schistosomatidae
Source: Rfam
GCACUGCUGAGGAGUCCCAUAAUAGGACGCAACGGUCGUCCAGUGC